This 496-nucleotide ribosomal RNA is filed under the name uncultured bacterium. RNAcentral's name for it is "partial 16S ribosomal RNA". It matches the Rfam family "Bacterial small subunit ribosomal RNA", at positions 28 to 506 of the family's 1533-position model. The record is from RNAcentral.
GACGAACGCUGGCGGCGUGCCUAAUACAUGCAAGUUGAGCGCUGAAGGUUGGUACUUGUACCAACUGGAUGAGCAGCGAACGGGUGAGUAACGCGUGGGGAAUCUGCCUUUGAGCGGGGGACAACAUUUGGAAACGAAUGCUAAUACCGCAUAAAAACUUUAAACACAAGUUUUAAGUUUGAAAGAUGCAAUUGCAUCACUCAAAGAUGAUCCCGCGUUGUAUUAGCUAGUUGGUGAGGUAAAGGCUCACCAAGGCGAUGAUACAUAGCCGACCUGAGAGGGUGAUCGGCCACAUUGGGACUGAGACACGGCCCAAACUCCUACGGGAGGCAGCAGUAGGGAAUCUUCGGCAAUGGACGAAAAUCUGACCGAGCAACGCCGCGUGAGUGAAGAAGGUUUUCGGAUCGUAAAACUCUGUUGGUAGAGAAGAACGUUGGUGAGAGUGGAAAGCUCAUCAAGUGACGGUAACUACCCAGAAAGGGACGGCUAACUACGU